GGUGGUUCUUGAGUAAUGCCCCCUGGAAUCGGGCUCCCUCCUUUCUGGUUCCAGGUGUGUCACCCAUGAACUGCA
Non-coding RNA from Myotis davidii, 75 nucleotides. The record is from Rfam. NCBI's taxonomy places the organism in Eukaryota, Metazoa, Chordata, Mammalia, Chiroptera, Vespertilionidae.